GUAAGCAACGUGCCCUGAAGACUGGGAUAUACCGGGGAAACCCGGAGCAAUACCGGAUGUGGCCGCGACCUCGCAUGGGGACGCGACUAAAUGGUUUUUCGCUUCAGGAGCGGCUUACGCCAUAUCAGCUAGUUGGUGGGGUAACGGCCUACCAAGGCUUCGACGUGUAACUGGUCUGAGAGGAUGGCCAGUCCGAGUGGGACUGAGACACGGCC
RNAcentral lists this ribosomal RNA (215 nucleotides) under uncultured bacterium. Its description in RNAcentral is "partial 16S ribosomal RNA". It matches the Rfam family "Bacterial small subunit ribosomal RNA", at positions 117 to 331 of the family's 1533-position model. The record is from RNAcentral.